Molecule: ribosomal RNA, 253 nt
Filed under: uncultured bacterium
Lineage: Bacteria
Description: partial 16S ribosomal RNA
Rfam family: Bacterial small subunit ribosomal RNA
Source: RNAcentral
UACGUAGGGUGCGAGCGUUGCCCGGAUUUAUUGGGCGUAAAGGGCGCGUAGGCGGCCACGCACGUCCGUUGUGAAAUCGCCCGGCUCAACUGGGCGGGGUCGGCGGAUACGGCGUGGCUGGAGCAAGCUAGGGGGCAAUGGAAUUCCCGGUGUAGUGGUGGAAUGCGUAGAUAUCGGGUGGAACACCAGUGGCGAAGGCGGUUGCCUGGAGCUUUGCUGACGCUGAGGCGCGAAAGCGUGGGGAGCAAACAGG